This 314-nucleotide ribosomal RNA is filed under the name uncultured eukaryote. RNAcentral's name for it is "partial 18S ribosomal RNA". It matches the Rfam family "Eukaryotic small subunit ribosomal RNA", at positions 1470 to 1796 of the family's 1831-position model. The record is from RNAcentral.
CCCUUAGAUGUUCUGGGCCGCACGCGCGCUACACUGAUUCAUGCAACAAGUUUUGUCCUUGGCUGAUAGGCCUGGGUAAUCUUUGAACGUGAAUCGUGAUGGGGAUAGAUGAUUGCAAUUAUUCAUCUUCAACGAGGAAUUCCUAGUAAACGCAAGUCAUCAGCUUGCAUUGAUUACGUCCCUGCCCUUUGUACACACCGCCCGUCGCACCUACCGAUUGAAUGGUCCGGUGAAGCCUCCGGAUUGGCGCGCACCUCGGUGCCGCCGAGAAGUUGGCUAAACCUUACCAUUUAGAGGAAGGUGAANUCGUAACA